AGUGAACGCUGGCGGUAGGCCUAACACAUGCAAGUCGAACGGCAGCACAGUAAGAGCUUGCUCUUACGGGUGGCGAGUGGCGGGCGGGUGAGGAAUACAUCGGAAUCUACUUUUUCGUGGGGGAUAACGUAGGGAAACUUACGCUAAUACCGCAUACGACCUACGGGUGAAAGCAGGGGAUCUUCGGACCUUGCGCGAUUGAAUGAGCCGAUGUCGGAUUAGCUAGUUGGCGGGGUAAAGGCCCACCAAGGCGACGAUCCGUAGCUGGUCUGAGAGGAUGAUCGGCCACACUGGAGCUGAGACACGGUCCAGACGCCUGCGGGAGGCAGCAGUGGGGAAUAUUGGGCAAUGGGGGCAAGCCUGAUCCAGCCAGAGCGCGUGGGUGAAGAAGGCGUUCGGGUUGGAAAGCCCUUUUGUUGGGAGAGAAAAGCAGCAGGUUGAUACGCCGCUGUUCUGACGGUACCCAAAGAAUAUGCACCGGCUAACUUCGUG
RNAcentral lists this ribosomal RNA (492 nucleotides) under uncultured bacterium. RNAcentral describes it as "partial 16S ribosomal RNA". It matches the Rfam family "Bacterial small subunit ribosomal RNA", at positions 29 to 507 of the family's 1533-position model. The record is from RNAcentral.